AUACCUUUGCUGCGCAACGGUUCGCCGAACGAGGCCCCCGGCCCCGGGCGAUUAAAAGGGAAUGCCGUGAAAAUCGGCAACAGUUCCCUCUGCUGUAAGUUCCUGCCGCCGAAGCGGCACAUCAGACCCCGACAAUCUCUUGCCACUGGUUUUCACGCGACCGGGAAGGCGUCGGGACCGGAACGAGUCAGAAGACCUGCCGCUGCAAUGGUUUUACA
RNAcentral lists this non-coding RNA (218 nucleotides) under Alistipes shahii. Lineage: Bacteria; Pseudomonadati; Bacteroidota; Bacteroidia; Bacteroidales; Rikenellaceae. RNAcentral also lists the same sequence under 1 other name. The record is from RNAcentral.